RNAcentral lists this long non-coding RNA (4801 nucleotides) under Sus scrofa (pig). RNAcentral's name for it is "lncRNA (ENSSSCG00060040846.1)". Lineage: Eukaryota; Metazoa; Chordata; Mammalia; Artiodactyla; Suidae. The record is from RNAcentral.
GGCUAGGGGUCGAAUCGGAGCUACAGCUGCCGGCCUACACCACAGCCACGGCAACACCGGAUCCUUAACCCACGGAGCGAGCCCAGGGAUCAAACCUGCAUCCUCAUGGUUCCUGGUCAGAUUUGUUGCCGCCGCACCACGACAGGAACUCCAAAACUACUGAUUUUUAAAAGUUAACCAUGAAGAAACCAAACCACUGAAUGUUUCUGAACAAACGUUACCAUAAAAAAAAUCCAAACCACUGAAUACAUAUAUAUUUUGAAACGUUCACAACCAUGAAGAAAACCAAGCCACCAAAUUCUUUAACUGGACAAACCGCAUGGAAAGAGGGUUCUGCCAAGAAGACACACCCAUAGCCAAUGAGCACCUGAAAGGAUGCUCGAUGUCGCCCAUCAUGAGACAGGUGCGAACCAGCAGUAAGACACCGCCUCCCCCUCACCAGGACGGCUACGAACAGAAACAGAGUCACCUGAUUCUAAAGGAACGAAUGCGUCAUAACCAAACGCACAUCCAGAUAGUGUGUUUAGACCCGUGGCUGUUACUUCUUUUUGAAGAUUUUAUUUUUCUAUUAGAGCUGAUUUACCAUGUUCUCUCAAUUUCUGCUCUGCAGCAAAGUGACCAGUUAUACAUAAUACGUACGUUCUCCUCGCAUUAUCCUCCAGCAGAUUCCAUCACCCGGGACUGGACAUUGUUCCCUGUGCUGUACAGCAGGACCUUGGCUGUUACCCUAAAGCACACGCCACUCCAGCAUCUUCUAAACAUCUGCAUGUUUUCCGACCAUCUCAACGUUCCAGAGUCCAGCUGAGGGUGUCUUUUUCACCAUCUGGGUUCUCUACCCUUGAUGUAGAAAAUCUGCAUGCAAAUAAAGAUGAUAAAAAAGGAAUGGGACAUGCACAGAGAGAUUCCUCAAUUCUAGAAAAGGGACCCUCAGACUCGGUGGGUGGGACGCAAAUUGGUGCAGCCACUGAGAACAGGAGGGAGGGUCCUCAGAGAACGAAAAAUACAAGUGCUGCCCAACCCCGCAACUCCACUUCUGGGCAUGUAUCCAAGGAAGUGAAAGCAGGUCUCAGGAGGUCCCCUGUGGCUCAGUGGGUUAAGACACUGCCAUCGUCUCUGUGAGGAUGCGGGUUUGAUCCCUGGCCUCGCUCAGUGGGUUCAGGAUCCGGUGUUGCCGUGAGCUGUGGUGUAGGUCCCAGGUGCAGCUCAGAUUCAACCCCUAGCCUGGGAAAUUACGUAUGCCGCGGACCCAGUCCUGAAAGUAAAUAUAUAAGCAAACAAAUAAAAAAGGGGUUCCCUGGUGGGUUAAGGAUCCAGCAUUGUCGCUGCUGUGGUGCAGGUUUGAACCCUGGCCUGGCCUGGGAACUUCUGCAUGCUGCUGGUGCAGCCAAAAGCAUUAAUUACAAAGGAGGAAAACAGUGGAGGAAUGACACAGACAAAUCAGAGAGAGAAGGUAGAAACGUUUGAGUCGGUGCCUGCAGGGAAUUUCGGGACCAGGCGUCCGUACUGCUUGUGGGGACACAGUCAUGGUUUGCACCGCCGUGACCGUGGGGGGCAGACAGCUCUGGUUUUCACUGACCGUCAGAUCCUUCAGCAAGAAGGUUGACGUGUGCUAGGAACCCCCCAGCCUCUUCCCGGGCGGUGGGGGGUCACAGUUUACUCAAAGCGCGGUUGGCCUGUCAUGCGGAGGCUUCACUCCGCCUGGUCUGGUCCCCAGGGAGGUCCCCAGGCUGGACGGGACAGACCCCAAUUAGGAGUUCACCAGCCGCAUAUAUGCGGUAUUUCUCUCCAAGGGCGGCCAGAACAAAUCAGCACACAUGCUACAACGAUGCCCCCUUAUCAUCUCACAGGUCUGGGGUCAGAAGCCUCCCGGGGCCAAGACCGACGUGGCUGUGGGGUGGGUCCUCCUGGAACCUUCAGGGGAGAAUCUGUGUGGUACCUUCUUCCAGAGACCACACACCUGUCGGGCUCCACGGCAACCUUGCCCAGCCUCCCGUCUCGAAAGGAGGGACCUUCACCUGGUCACGGCUCCUCCCUCUACCCUCCUCACCCUCCCUCACCCACUUUAUUUUGUUAAUUCUUUUUAGGGCAGCACCUGCGGCACAUGCACGUUCCCAGGCUAGGGGUUGAAUCGGGGCUGCAGGGUUGAAUCGGAGUUGAACUACGACCAGAGCAACGCCAGGUCUGAGCCUCACCUGCCACCUGUGCGUGAGGCGAGACCAGAUCCUUAGCCCACCGAGCAAGGCCCAGGAUUGAACCUCUAUCCUCCUGGACACUCUGUCGGGUUCUUAACCUGCUGAGCCACAACGGGAACUCCCCUCACCCACUUCUGAGGACCCUGGGCUUACAAUGAGCCCAUCUGGAUAAUCCCAGGUUGCUGCCAUCUCAAGGUCAGCUCAGGGCCAAGCCUAAAUCCACCGGCAUCUGUAACCCCGCGUCACCACAGCAGGUAACAUGCCCGCCUGUCCUGGGCACUAGGAAUUAGGAAGUAGACAUCUUUAGGGUCAUUAUUCUGCUGACCACACAUGGUCCCAAAGGGACUGGGCUGGGACCCAGACCCACACUCGCUGAUAAAAUUAGCAUGUCAAAGUGUUUAAUGAGGCUUAACGGGCGGCUGCUUCCCUGUAGAAGACUUAGAGUCUUAAGCAGCCACAAAGAUGAUAAAGCAGUUUCUCUUCUAAAACACGGACUCGGACAGAAAGCCAUGCCCCUGAAAACAGGCAACACGUGGGGAAAUAAAGCACAUGCAGCUCAGUGUGAUGCAAGAACUAUACUGGAAAAGGAUCUGAGAAACAAUGGACGUGUGUGCAUGUGUCACGGACUCACUCUGCUGUGCACCUGAAGCUAAACAUUGUAACUCAACUCUACUCCAAUACAAAAUAACGUUUAAGUCAAUAUUUUGUGGUUUUUUUCUUUCUCAGCUUUGAGAUGGGACUGGCUUAGUUUCAGUGGUUACAUGAUGCUCUCGGACCGUGAUACGAGCUUUGUCGUGUCAUGGGGCAGUUGUAUCGAAUGACUUGUAUGUCGUGCCUCGUGUGACGUCCGCUUUCGUGUCAUGUUCCCCACUCAGCCAUAAAAACGAAUGGAAUAAUGUCACUCACAGCAACGUGGAUGCAACUAGAGAUUCUCACACUAAGCGAAGUUAGAAAGACAAACACCAUAUGAUGUCACUUCUAUGGAAUCUAAAAUAUGUCACAGAUGAACCUGUCUGUGGAACAGAAACAGACUCCCAGACAUGGAGACCAAACUUGUGGUUGCUGAGGGGUCGGGCGGGGGAUGCAGUGGGGAGUUUGGGCUGAGUCGAUGCAAACUGUGACACUGAGAAUGGAUCAGCAGCGAGGUCCUGCUGUCCCGCACAGGGGACUCUGUGUCCAGUCACUUGUGGUGGAACAUGACGGAAGAUACUAUGCAGAAGUGUGAGUAUAGACGGAUGACGGCAUCACUUUCUUGUACAUCAGAAAUGGACAGAACAGUGUAAAUCCGUGAUAAUUUAAAAAUUAAAGAAAAAAAGAAAUUGACUGUGUCAAGAGACACGGACCAGGAGGUCCUCCCUCUGCAGGAACCAUUCCCGGGCAUCUGUUUCCAUCGCUGAGCAAGAUUUACUCAGACACGUGCAUUCUGAGUUUAGUCCUAUCCCGUGAAAAUGCACCAACUGCCCUGUGGAAAGUAAAUGCAGCUGCCUUUUCCUAGUGUGUCCUGCUUAAAACAAUUUGGGACAAUCUGAAGUGACUUUAGCUCAGCAACAUCCUCAGUAGCUGGAGCACCAGGCGGAGGACACUGAGACAUCAAACGAAUGGAACAGAGAUGUCGUUUCCGAUGCUGUCUGCCCACACGUGGAAGGGGACUAGUGUCCUCCCGUCCCGAAGACCGAGUCUUCAGCAGGCACGUGACGGGUGUGGAAGAAACUCACUGGAUGCCCUAAUUCUUGGGGUAAAACCCACGUAUUAUGCACGUCCUGUUGGUGGGAGUGUAAAUCCGUGCAGCCCUGACAGAAAACAGUACAGAAGUUCCUCAAAGCUCUAAAAAUAGAAGUAUGUCCCCGCAAUCCCACUCCUUGGCAUCGACCCAGACAAAACCCUAAUUUGAGAAGCUCCAGGCACCCCUGUGUCCAUUGCAGGACUAUUCACAACAGCCAAGACAUGGAAACGACCUAAAUGUCCAUCCACAGAGGAAUGGAUAAAGACGACGUGGUCCGUGGACGCAAUGGAAUACGACCCGUCAAAAAGAACAAAACGAGGCAGUUGGAGCGACACGGAGGCAGCUCGAGAUGAUCGCACUAAGUGACGUGAGAAAGACACACACUGUAUGAUGUCACCUAUGUGUGGAAUCUCAAAACAUAACGAGUGAACGUACAUGCAAAACAGAAGCCGAUUCGCAGACACGGAGGACAAGCCAGUGGUUCCAGUGGGGAGAGGGAAGCGGGAGGGUGAUCUGGGGGGGGAGUCAGAGGACGCACCACGGGGUAUAAACUAAACCACCCACAAGGAGAUGCCGCACAGCACGGGGACACAGCCAGUGCUUGAUCACAACUGCAAGUGAAGGAGAACCUUGAAACACCGCGAAUCGCCGUUACACACCUGUAACACAACAUGCAUGUCAACGACACUUCAGUUCUUCAAAUUUUAAAGGCAAAAGCACAUAGCAGUUACCGCUGCCGGGGAGGCAAGAAGCGAUCCUGCUUGUCUCUGGCAUGGCUGGUUUGACCCCUGCCCUGGUGCAGUGGGUUAAGGAUCUGGUGUUGCCACAGCUGGGCUGCAGCUCAAAGUUGAUCCCUGGGCUGGGGAACUUCCAAAUGCCGUGGGUG